GCUGGGCAUAGUGGCGGGUGCCUGUAAUCCCAGCUACUCGGGAGGCUGAGGCAGAAGAAUUGCUUGAACCCAGGAGGCGGAGGUUGCAGUGAGCUGAGAUCGUGCCACUGCACUCUAGCCUGGGCGACAGAGUGAGAUUCCAUCUAAAAAAAAAAAAAAGAAAAAGAAACAAAAAUAACUGAGUUUUCUUUUCUUUUUUGUUUUUUUUUCUUCAGACAGAGUCUCACUGUGUCACCAGGCUGGAGUGCAGUGGCGCGAUCUCAGCUCACUGCAACCUCCGCCUCCCGGGUUAACGCCAUUCUCCUGCCUCAG
Molecule: signal recognition particle RNA, 312 nt
Filed under: Macaca fascicularis (crab-eating macaque)
Lineage: Eukaryota; Metazoa; Chordata; Mammalia; Primates; Cercopithecidae
Description: Metazoan signal recognition particle RNA (ENSMFAG00000054951.1)
Rfam family: Metazoan signal recognition particle RNA
About the family: The signal recognition particle (SRP) is a universally conserved ribonucleoprotein. It is involved in the co-translational targeting of proteins to membranes. The eukaryotic SRP consists of a 300-nucleotide 7S RNA and six proteins: SRPs 72, 68, 54, 19, 14, and 9.
Source: RNAcentral